UUAUCAAAAACAUCGCUCUUUGUAAAAUUUAUAGAUAAAGAGUCGUGCCUGCCCAGUGAAUUUUUUUAACGGCCGCAGUACCCUGACUGUGCUAAGGUAGCAUAAUCACUUGUUUUUUAAUUGAAAGCUUGUAUGAAUGGCUUGACGUAGGUAAAGCUGUCUCUUUUAUAUUAAAUAAAAAUUAAUUUUUAAGUGCAGAAGCUUAAAUACAACCAAAAGACGAAAAGACCCUAUCGAGCUUGAAAAUUAUAAUUAAAUUAAAUUUAUAGUAAAAUAAUUUUUAAUUAAUUUUUUUUGUUGGGGCGACAAAAGAACAAAUAAAGCUUCUUUUUAUUUUUUAAAUUUAUAAAUUUUUAGAUCCAUAAUUUAUGAUUAAAAGAAAAAGCUACCGUAGGGAUAACAGCGUUAUUUUUUCAAAGAGUUCUUAUCGAAGAAAAAGUUUGCGACCUCGAUGUUGGAUUAAAGUAACUUUUAAGUGCAGAAGCUUAAAAAGUGGGUCUGUUCGACCCUUAAACCUUU
This 519-nucleotide ribosomal RNA is filed under the name Mopalia cirrata. RNAcentral describes it as "partial 16S ribosomal RNA". It matches the Rfam family "Bacterial large subunit ribosomal RNA", at positions 1804 to 2597 of the family's 2925-position model. The record is from RNAcentral. Lineage: Eukaryota; Metazoa; Mollusca; Polyplacophora; Chitonida; Mopaliidae.